GACGAUAAUGAUUCGAAGGGUAAGAAUUGAGAGGAAAAUAAUAAAAAAGGGCGAAGGGGGAAGCGAGGGGGAUCAGUUUAUUUACCUUAUUGGCAUCAACAUCCAUUUGUGCAUUCAUAAACAUAUCAACAUACAUCUACAUUAAAAACUGUAUAAACUAGUAAAAAGUAUCAAUAUAGCCACAUAUAUCAGUGUAUUUAAAAAUAUAAAUGUAUGUCUGCAAUAUCAAUGCUUAAGGGUGCAUGUGCGUACACAUAUCAGUAUAUAUAUAAUUGAUAGCAAGUUUAUACAUACAUGCAGAAACAUAUCAGUAUAUACAAAUCGUAUAUAUACACACUGUAUACAUACACAGUAUAUAUCCACUGAUCAACGCGUAAGGGUGCAUGUGAGUGCGCAUAUCAAUGUAUAUAACAGAUAGCAAGCAACUGUAUCCAUACACAACACGCACACAUGUGUAGUAUAUAUAUAUGUGAGUGUAAGUGUGUGUGAGUGUGUGUGUAGUAUAUAAAUCAGUGUAUAUAUGCGUUAAUAGCUGCAUAAACUGAUAAUAAGUGUAUAUAUGAUCAUAUAUAUCAAUGUAUAAAAAAAUUUAUUCAUUAAUGUACUGUAUAUAAAACUUUAUGCACUUUACACAUACACACAUAUCAAAUAUAUACACAUCGUAUAUAUACAGACAUCACACACACACAUAUCAAUGUAUUUUUUACACACUAAUAACUGUAUAUAUUACAGAUAACUAAUGUAUUGUAUGCUUUAUACACAUCAAUAUAUAUGCACUGAAAAUAAUGAUAUAUAUUGCUAUACAUAUAUAUACACAAAUUGAGCUAAUAACUGUAUACAUCACAGAUAAUAAGUACAUACAUGAUCUUAUACAUUAGUGCAUAUAUAAACCCUUUAUAAAUAUGCAGAUGAGUGUGCGUAUAUACAUUUCAGUGUACAUAUACACUCAUUACUGUAUAAACAAAUAAUAAAUUUCUAUAUGGUCAUAUAUAUCAGUGUACAUAGAAAUGUAUGUAUGCACUAUCAAUGCGUAAAGGUGCAUAUGCGUCGCAUAUCAGUGUACAUAUAACUAAUAGCAAGUUUACAUAUACAUGUAUAAACAUAUCAAUAUAUACAUAUCCUUUAUAUGCACAUAUCCUUUAUAUGCACACUGCAUAUAUCAGUAUAUACAUGUCGUUUAUAUGUACAUUGUGAGUGUGAGAGCGAGUGUGAGUGUGAAUGUGUGUGUGAGUGUGUGUGUGUGAGUGAGUGUGAGUUUUAGUUUGUGUGUGUGAGUGUGUGUAUGUGUGUGUGUGUGUGUGUGUGUGAGUGUGUGGUGUGUGUUGUGUGUGUGUGUGGUGUGUGUUGUGUGUGAGUGUGUGGUGUGUGUUGUGUGUGUGUGUAUGUGUACGUGUUAAGAAAAAGUGACUUAAUAAAAUUGUAAACCACAAGUAAGGCUCUAAAAAAUUUACUCCGUAUUUGCAUGACAGAGGCAAGAGCAGUACUAUACUACAAAAGAAAGAACCAUUAAGCAAAUCAAGCUUUCAAGUUCAAGAUCUCAAAUAUCAAAAAACGUAAAGAGAUCCGCCUCGAUGAUAAGUUGCAUUCAUGCUUGUUGAAUUACAAGCAAACUCAAUGAAGAUGAAGCUCAUCAACAAUAAUAAAAACAAGUACAGAUAUAUGAUAAAAACUUUAGAUGGACUAUCACAAUUGGGUAUUUUAGCAUACCUAAUACAUCAAGAGAAGAAACCCAUUCUUAUGCCUAAUUCUAUACAAAGUAAUAUGGAAUUUCGCCUAGGCUUAUUUGAUUAGAGGUGAUAACCAGAAGAAAUAAUCUCCUUCUUUAAUACCUGAUUUUAUCACAAUUCGAAAAUUGUAUAUGGUAAGAAAAAUCAUUCACAGAGAAGAUAAUGAUUCGAAUGGUAAGAAUUGAGAGGAAAAUAAUCAAAAAGGAGGGGGCAGGGGGAUCUGUCCCUUUACCUUGUUGGCUGCAACUACCACCUGUGCUUUCAUAUACAUAUCAAUGUACAUCUACGCUAAUAACUGUAUAAACUGAUAAAAAAUGUAUAUAUGGUCAUAAACAUCGGUGUAUAUAAAAAUGUAUAUAUGCACUAUUAAUGCGUAAGGGUGCAUGUGCGUACGCAUAUCAGUGUAUAUAUAACAGACAACAAGUUUAUACAUACACGCAUAAACAUAUCAAUAUAUACAUAUCGUAUAUAUACACACUGUGUAUAUAUAAACUGUCAAU
Molecule: long non-coding RNA, 2227 nt
Filed under: Amborella trichopoda
Lineage: Eukaryota; Viridiplantae; Streptophyta; Magnoliopsida; Amborellales; Amborellaceae
Description: long non-coding RNA (ATRI_LNC000732)
Source: RNAcentral